Molecule: long non-coding RNA, 1224 nt
Organism: Entelurus aequoreus (snake pipefish)
Lineage: Eukaryota; Metazoa; Chordata; Actinopteri; Syngnathiformes; Syngnathidae
Exons: 3
Source: RefSeq, a predicted model, not a curated record
GAUGGAGCAGCAGUCAUGAUGGGGAAAAAAGAAUGGUGUUGGUAUGUAUGUCUGUGCUUUUUUUAUUAAAGCAUGUUGCUUUCUAGUGUUUUAAUUUUUACUUAGAUUUGUUGUAAAGUUGUUUUUGUGCAAGGUUGAAUCUUCUUAACUUGUAGUUUUUUUUUUUUUUUUAAACUUAUUAUAUAUCGAUUACCACUUUAGGUAAAAUAAAGUUUCAUAGUUCGGAUAUAUAUAUUUUACUAACUACUUCAAAUUAUUUAUAACAGGUGUCCAGCUAUCACAGCAUUGUAAGAUGUUAUUGCAUGUGCAUUGCCAUGCACACAGAUUGGCACGAGCUGUAUCCCAGAGUGCAAAUAAGGUUGAGGCACUGAAAAAGUAUCAACUGGACCUUUCCCAAAUAUUCAACUACUACAACAACUCUCCUGUGAGGCUUCCCAUAGUUUGGGAGUGACAAGGGAUACAUUGACUGCCGUGCAGUCCAGUGUGGACGCGGUGGCAAGAUCUAAGAAACUGCAGGAAGUGCCAGUUGAGGAUGGCAAGAUUAGGUGGAUGAAUGUGGAGUUGAAGAAGAGUGAACAGGAUUCAUCAAAUAAAUUCUCUCCAACCUGGAUAAGAGAUUCCUGACUCUGCUGUGUCCUUCCUGAAAGACUUGAUCUUCUGCUGAAUCCAAAACACCUGAAGGCACUAUCACCUCAGGACGUUGCCACUUGGGGGCAGGACACGCUAGCAACAGUUGCGCAACAUCUGCCAGAAGCUGCAGAGUUCCAGGAAGAAUGGGCUGUGCAUGACUUUAUGGCCAUGCAAGAACCUCUGCUCAAUUGACCUUGCCUGGCUUUGUAGAGGAACUCGUUGUCAAUUUCAGGGAUUAUUAUCCUGACUUUUGCAUUGAUGGCUGAAUUUUUCAUCUACGUUCCAUUGCAUUUUGUGUCGUGUGAAAGAGGGUUCAGUGCCCAAAACAUUGUGAAAAACAAAAGGAGAAAUAGGUUAACUCCUAAAAGGAGAAUCAGCUGCUGAUGGUUGCGAUUAAUGGUCCUCGUCAGCCAGAGAAAUUUGAUUUUUGGGCGGCAGCGUCAAAGUUUUGAUCCAUGAGGGAAAGAAGAAAGUGAAUGAAUGUUUAUAACUGAAUACAUUUAUAUAUGCAUAAAAAUGUGUUUUCUUUUGUGUGAUUUCUUUAAUGAAUUAAGUAACGUCUAUGACAACCUUUUUCCAAAACACAAUAUAGAA